Long non-coding RNA from Ruditapes philippinarum (Manila clam), 2138 nucleotides. RefSeq lists it as uncharacterized. NCBI's taxonomy places the organism in Eukaryota, Metazoa, Mollusca, Bivalvia, Venerida, Veneridae. The transcript has 6 exons. The record is from RefSeq and is a predicted model, not a curated record.
GGCCUGUUGGCGUGUUUACGGUCAAACCUAAGAUUUUGUAAAAAAUGUAGACUUGGACCAGUUGGCUACCAUUAACAGCACUGAUUAACUUUUGACAACAUGUUAGGUGAAUUUAAACAGGGAGUGUCUGGUUAUUUGUAUGUGAAAUGUCGAAACACAGAAUGCGGUCAUGUGAAUUGUGUUCCCUAUGGAAAAACACACAGACUCUAGUAGAUUGAAGACCUGUGAAAGUUGGAAUGCCAUGUUUCGUUGUCAACACAAAAUUAGGAACAGCAAUGAUUGAUAGUGUAGGUGGGCCGGUGAGGGUCAACAAUUUGUUGUCAACACUAAAUAUACCAACAAUUGGAAAUAAAAACAUGAAAAGAAAUGGAGAGACGUGUUGGAAAUAUCAUUGAGACAGCACUGGCUUCUAUGCCGACAGAAUCUGCUGCAUAAGAUCAAGGAAAUGGAGGAUGUGCAUCAUGAAGAAUCAAUGGUAUCAGAACACAACAUCAUGGAAGAUCUUAUUGACAAGAUCUCGGAGGAUGUCCUUUGCCAGAUGUUUGCCAGCACUAAAGUCUAUUCAUCAGUCAGAUGCUACAGUUACAAAUGACAGUGAAUGGUCAGAUUUAUACAAUUGUGAUUAACAAUCAUCAACAAUACAUCAAACAAAAAUGCCUAUUAAACUUUCUCACAGACAGUCAAAGGUUGAAAAAAAAUCAGAAGUGGUCCACAUCUUAAAAAACCUCACAGCAGAUUAAGACUUUCCCCGAAAUUUCCCUGUAAAACCCGCAGUGGUAUGUCCAGUGCAGUAGAUACUGCCUGGCACAAAAGAGGAUUUGACAGUUUAACAUUGUACUGCACCAAUAAACUAAAUAUGGAGAGAAGCUUAGUCACCAAAGCAGUCAACACCAAAAUACACACAAUGGCCAGGGCACUGAAACUUGGAAGGGUGAAAGAGUAAAGUAGUGCGUUUUUAGCUAACAAAGUGACAUUGCGAGCUUUUGUCUAUCUUUCGUCCGUAAACUUGAUCUUUAAACAACAUCUCAUAAAUUGCCAAGCCAAUUUCAUGCAAACUUACGAUAUUGUCUAGUCAGUUUUUGUUUUGCUUGCAAUCGUUAUAUGACAUGACUAAAGACAUUUAGUUUUAUUCUUAAGUUAUUAUGUUUAUGUUUGUAUAAGACCCAAAUAUAUUGUUAAGAUUCAUUUUUACAAAUUUGAAAGCCAUUAUUGUUCUAGUCAGUUUUUGUUUUGCUUGCAAUCAUUAUAUUACAUGGCUAAAGACAUUUAGUUUUAAUCUUUAAUAGUUAUGUCUAUAUUUGUAUAAGACCCAAAAAUAUUGUUGAGAUUCAUUUUUACAAUUUUGAAAGCCAUUAUUGCUUUAGUUUGUUUUUGUUUUGCUUGCAAUUGUUAUAUGACAUGACUAAAGACAUUUAGUUUAAUUCUUUAGUUAUUAUGUCUAUGAGGGGCGUCCGUGGCUGAGUGGUUAAGGUCAUUGACUUCAAACCACUUGCCCCUCACCGCUGUGGGUUGGAAUCCCGACAGGGACUUUGGAAUCUGUCUUGUGAGGAAGCUAUCCAGCUAGCUUAACUGAACGUCAGUGGUUCUACUCAGAUACCUUUUCGUGCCUGAAAUAAUGCAAGGAAGGGCAUCUGAACGUCACGAUAUGACCUUUACUGUGUUGAUGUGACGUAAAAACCCAAAACAAGCAAACAAAAAAUUAUGUCUAUGAAAUUCGUUGUUUGUAUAAGACCCAAAUAUAUUGGUGUGAUUAAUUUUAACAAUUUUGAAAGCCAUAAUUGUUCGUGUCAGAUAUUGUUUUGCUCACAAUCAUAAUGUUAUAUGACAUAUGAGUUUAAAUCUGAAGGUAUUAUGUCCAUGAAAUAUGUUGUUUGUUUAAGACCAAAAUAUAUUUUUGAGAUUCAUUUUUACAAUUUUGAAAGCCAUUAUUGGUCUAGUCUGUUUUUGCAUAACACAUAACGCUAUUGUUAGUAUUUAUUGUUAUUAAUAGUGAUUUGUCUAAGUGAAUGUCGAAGUAUGUAUGUUAUACCAUGCCAGUUCAUGUUUGAAUGAAACUUUUUGUCCAGAUAGAAGAUUUCAAACUGUAACUUUUCUGAUUUUUAUCUUUUACAACAAUAUUAUAUUUCCCAUUUAUGGUG